UUCAAGGAUCUAGAUUAUUUCAAUAAUCUUGGUCUUCAUUACAUUUCAGAGUGUUUUAGUUCUUUGAAAAUUAUUGGCAUCUUGGUAAGUGAUAAGAUAGGCUUAAUAUCACUGAACUUUACACUAUUCAGUCAAAGGAUAUAUAAAACGGUGAUAGAUACUUCAAGCUUUUGUUGGUAAUAAACUGGAAUAUUCAUAUUAUGGGAAAAAAUGUAAAGUGCUUGUGCCAGUUAAGGUAAUAUAACUUAUAUAAAAUAUAAAUACCACAAUUUUAGUGACUUAACACAAUGGAAGUGUCACGGGAUCCUUGGGGUUGUGGCUUCGCCAGCCGGAAACCUCUGUGGCCAGCGGCGCCUUCUGCCUGAGUAUUACUCCAGCCCACUGGGUUUGUUCCUUUCACUCGGACCGGCAGGCUGCGCUCAGCUCACAUUACCAGCCUGGAUCCCAUACCUGCCAAGGGCGAGCCAGAUGCAGAGCGACAGAGCUCUUUCAGUCGUGCCAUUUGGCAUGUCCUGAGUUCUUGUCGCUGUGUGCAGGAAGAAUGAAGUAUGCAGACAAUUGGAGGGUGAGCAAGGCGAAGAGGAGCUUCCUUGAGCGACAGAACAGCUCUCAGGAAACCGGAAGUAAGUAGUUCCUUUCCACAGGCACGUCUUCCGAUGUCCGUGCAGCCCUCCGCAGAGAGCAGACCCAGAGUGUGUAACUCCUACCCACAGGCAGGUUGUCCGCACAUCUGUUGGAGUCUGGCUGAGUCAGGGUUUUUAAGGGUUCAGAGGGGAGGAAGUAUGUGCUGAUUGGUCUAUGGGCAGCCAUGGGUGGGCCUGGAAAAAACACCUUAAGUUCUCACUCUGGUCUGUGGAUUCCACCCUGAACUGACAGCCCAGCCCCCAUGCUUUGGGCAGUUCCUCGCUUGAAGGUAGGGCUUCACUGAGGACCCACCCCUUUCUGCCCAGAAGCCUGUCUGCCGCUUGCCACCAUCAAUCAUAUUCAUGGCGCCCAGGCUGUUUGUGCUGAGGAGCGCCUGAAGGCCUGCAGCGAGCUGGCUCAGUGCCCCCAUGCUCGUUGGCACCCAAAGUCCAGAGGGGGCCACGGUGGCAGGGGGCUGACAUGUCAGUGCCACCCCAAGCGCUCACACACCCAGCUGGGUUGCAACAGCACUUGGGCUUGGCCUCAACUUUGCUCUGCACCUGGAACAGGCACCGGGAGCAGGGAGAGGCCAGGCAGUGGGAGCAGGCACUUUGAAGCCUGCAGCGGCAGGGGAGCUUUCUGUGGCUCCCAAGAGCGCAGGAAAUGCCUGGGUCUGGAGCUACAGCUGUGCAUAGUAGGGAGGGGCUUCCAGCCUACCAACUCGGAAUGGGUUGGGGCUCCUUCCUGUUCCUGGCUCCUGCCCACUCUACGGAGCACGCAGCUCUGGCCUUGCCUUCCCUGCUGCAGCCAGCGUCUUCAGAGCAGCUUCUCAAGAUGGGCAGCCACUGCCAUCAGAAGUCCAAAACAAGAAUUCCUGACUGGCAAAGUUUGAAGAUCUGGCAGCAUUGAGCAAGCCUUCCCACAUGGCCAUGGUUGACAAGAGCUACAGAGAUUGCCCUCUAUGUACAUUUGCUAAAAUAUAAAUUCCGUGAAGAUUCAUGAAGAACCAUUUUGUUGCUUGAUGCAACCUGAACACCUGGAAGAGCUGAUGCUCAAUACAUAUUUAUCACAUGAAUCACCCUGUAGUUUCUCAGUAAACAUUUGUUAAAUUAACAAGGCAUAGGUUCUCCAAUCUGACACCCAGUAGUCCUUAUUUUAUUAUACUCAAAUUACCUCUCUCUUAUUUACGUUAUUUCUCUGGCCUCAUAGGCAUUUAAAAUUUUUAUUUAAAAAAUUGUGGUAAAAUAUACAUAAAGUUUAUCAUUUUUAGCAUUUUUAGUGUACAAUGCAGUGAGACUAAGUAUACUUACAAUGUUGUGCGGUUGUCACCACUAUCCAUCUCCAGAACUUUUUCAUCUUUCCAAACUGAAACUCAGCACCGAUUAACAAAUAACUCUCCAUUGCCCUUUCCCACCAGACUCUGUCAAUCACCGCUCUUUGUUCUGUCUCUACAGAUUUAAUUUCUUUAAGUAGCUCAUAUAAGUAGAAUCAUACAAUAUUUGUCCUUUUGGGUGCUGCAAGAAUUUAAUGUAUCAUACCUGUUUAAUUUACUGCCUUCAUAUAUUAGAGUUGGAAGAAACUAAGGCUCAGAAGGAUGAAAGUGAGUGUGCAUAGACACAUAACACACUGAUGGUCCACUUACUCUGGAAAGAAAGACCGUUUCUUUCCUCCAAGAUCUGUGUUCUUUGUACUGCAACAUGCUGAAUUACCCAUUUUACCACUUACAGAAGGAAGUGUUCUAGACUUCUAAGUCAAGAAUGAGUGAAAACAUCACAAUUAGACUAAAUUUAGCCCAAACUUAUGUCAUGGCAUGGAAUUUGAAAAGAAUCCUUAAUCAUAUGAUAAUGUACAAAAAGUCACACCCACAAACUUAUAAGUAAAUUGUAAUCAUUUAAAAUCUCUCUCUAUUCUCUGUUGAAUUAUCUGAUUGCAUAUAUCUCUAUUUUUGGCAACCUACUGAAAGAACUUACACUAGCAUAAGCAUACAAACAAAUGUGUGAAUGUUCCAAAUACAUGCUUUAAAUCCCUCCGCUGGCCUCAGUUGAUUGGAAGUGUCAUCAGAACACCAUUCUGGGAACUGAUUUUUU
This 2711-nucleotide long non-coding RNA is filed under the name Homo sapiens (human). RNAcentral's name for it is "HSALNT0077503". Lineage: Eukaryota; Metazoa; Chordata; Mammalia; Primates; Hominidae. The record is from RNAcentral.